RNAcentral lists this ribosomal RNA (582 nucleotides) under Salmonella enterica. RNAcentral's name for it is "partial 23S ribosomal RNA". It matches the Rfam family "Bacterial large subunit ribosomal RNA", at positions 1134 to 1715 of the family's 2925-position model. Lineage: Bacteria; Pseudomonadati; Pseudomonadota; Gammaproteobacteria; Enterobacterales; Enterobacteriaceae. The record is from RNAcentral. RNAcentral also lists the same sequence under 3 other names.
GUAAUAGCUCACUGGUCGAGUCGGCCUGCGCGGAAGAUGUAACGGGGCUAAACCAUGCACCGAAGCUGCGGCAGCGACGCUGAUGCGUUGUUGGGUAGGGGAGCGUUCUGUAAGCCUGUGAAGGUGUGUCGUGAGGCAUGCUGGAGGUAUCAGAAGUGCGAAUGCUGACAUAAGUAACGAUAAAGCGGGUGAAAAGCCCGCUCGCCGGAAGACCAAGGGUUCCUGUCCAACGUUAAUCGGGGCAGGGUGAGUCGACCCCUAAGGCGAGGCCGAAAGGCGUAGUCGAUGGGAAACGGGUUAAUAUUCCCGUACUUGGUGUUACUGCGAAGGGGGGACGGAGAAGGCUAUGUUGGCCGGGCGACGGUUGUCCCGGUUUAAGCGUGUAGGUGUGUGUUCCAGGUAAAUCCGGUUCACUUUAACACUGAGGCGUGACGACGAGGCACUACGGUGCUGAAGCAACAAAUGCCCUGCUUCCAGGAAAAGCCUCUAAGCAUCAGGUAACACGAAAUCGUACCCCAAACCGACACAGGUGGUCAGGUAGAGAAUACCAAGGCGCUUGAGAGAACUCGGGUGAAGGAACUA